UACGUAGGGUGCGAGCGUUAAUCGGAAUUACUGGGCGUAAAGCGUGCGUAGGCGGUUCGCUGUGUCCGAUGUGAAAGCCCCGGGCUUAACCUGGGAAUGGCAUUGGAAACUGGCGGGCUUGAGUGUGGCAGAGGGGGGUGGAAUUCCGCGUGUAGCAGUGAAAUGCGUAGAUAUGCGGAGGAACACCGAUGGCGAAGGCAAUCCCCUGGGCCUGUACUGACGCUCAUGCACGAAAGCGUGGGGAGCAAACAGG
RNAcentral lists this ribosomal RNA (253 nucleotides) under uncultured bacterium. Its description in RNAcentral is "partial 16S ribosomal RNA". It matches the Rfam family "Bacterial small subunit ribosomal RNA", at positions 524 to 776 of the family's 1533-position model. The record is from RNAcentral.